This 253-nucleotide ribosomal RNA is filed under the name uncultured bacterium. Its description in RNAcentral is "partial 16S ribosomal RNA". It matches the Rfam family "Bacterial small subunit ribosomal RNA", at positions 524 to 776 of the family's 1533-position model. The record is from RNAcentral.
UACGUAGGGGGCAAGCGUUGUCCGGAAUCAUUGGGCGUAAAGAGCGUGUAGGUGGCUCGGUAAGUCCGCUGUGAAAGUCUAGGGCUCAACCCUGGAAAGCCGGUGGAAACUGUCGAGCUCGAGUCCGGAAGAGGCGAGUGGAAUUCCUGGUGUAGCGGUGAAAUGCGCAGAUAUCAGGAGGAACACCAAUGGCGAAGGCAGCUCGCUGGGACGGUACUGACACUGAGACGCGAAAGCGUGGGGAGCAAACAGG